RNAcentral lists this ribosomal RNA (287 nucleotides) under Pseudo-nitzschia fraudulenta. RNAcentral's name for it is "partial Bacterial large subunit ribosomal RNA". It matches the Rfam family "Bacterial large subunit ribosomal RNA", at positions 2586 to 2865 of the family's 2925-position model. Lineage: Eukaryota; Bacillariophyta; Bacillariophyceae; Bacillariales; Bacillariaceae. The record is from RNAcentral.
AAUUAAAGUGGUACGCGAGCUGGGUUCAGAACGUCGUGAGACAGUUUGGUCCCUAUCUGCCGUGGGUGUUGGAAACUUGAGAGGUACUUGAGAGGAUUAUCUGUCCUUGUCCCUAGUACGAGAGGACCGGGAUGAACAUACCUCUGGUGGACCUGUUGUGGCGCCAGCCGCAUUGCAGGGUAGCUAUGUACGGAAGGGAUAACCGCUGAAAGCAUCUAAGCGGGAAACUAACCUCAAAACCAGGUAUCCCUGAGAGCCGUGCAAGACCAGCACGUCGAUAGGCCGGG